Molecule: ribosomal RNA, 608 nt
Filed under: Enterobacter sp. S6(2014)
Lineage: Bacteria; Pseudomonadati; Pseudomonadota; Gammaproteobacteria; Enterobacterales; Enterobacteriaceae
Description: bacterial SSU rRNA
Rfam family: Bacterial small subunit ribosomal RNA
Source: RNAcentral
AGAGUUUGAUCAUGGCUCAGAUUGAACGCUGGCGGCAGGCCUAACACAUGCAAGUCGAACGGUAGCACAGAGAGCUUGCUCUCGGGUGACGAGUGGCGGACGGGUGAGUAAUGUCUGGGAAACUGCCUGAUGGAGGGGGAUAACUACUGGAAACGGUAGCUAAUACCGCAUAAUGUCGCAAGACCAAAGAGGGGGACCUUCGGGCCUCUUGCCAUCAGAUGUGCCCAGAUGGGAUUAGCUAGUAGGUGGGGUAACGGCUCACCUAGGCGACGAUCCCUAGCUGGUCUGAGAGGAUGACCAGCCACACUGGAACUGAGACACGGUCCAGACUCCUACGGGAGGCAGCAGUGGGGAAUAUUGCACAAUGGGCGCAAGCCUGAUGCAGCCAUGCCGCGUGUAUGAAGAAAGGCCUUCGGGUUGUAAAGUACUUUCAGCGGGGAGGAAAGGUGUUGUGGUUUAAUAACCGCAGCAAUUGACGUUACCCGCAGAAGAAGCACCGGGCUAACUCCGUGCCAGCAGCCGCGGUAAUACGGAGGUGCAGCGUAUCGGAUUACUGGGCGUAAGCGCACGCAGCGGUCUGUCAGUCGGAUGUGAAAUCCCCGGGCUCA